Molecule: ribosomal RNA, 433 nt
Filed under: uncultured bacterium
Lineage: Bacteria
Description: partial 16S ribosomal RNA
Rfam family: Bacterial small subunit ribosomal RNA
Source: RNAcentral
AAAGAAAGAGGGAGGAAGGAAGAACACAUGCAAGUCGAACGAGACCUUCGGGUAUAGUGGCGAACGGGUGCGUAACGCGUGGGAACCUGCCCUUAGGUUCGGAAUAACUCCCAGAAAGGGGUGCUAAUACCGGAUAAUGUCUUCGGACCAAAGAUUUAUCGCCUUUGGAUGGGCACGCGUUGGAUUAGCGAGUUGGUAGGGUAAAAGCCUACCAAGGCGACGAUCCAUAGCUGGUCUGAGAGGAUGAGCAGCCACACUGGUACUGAGACACGGCCCAGACGCCUACGGGAGGCAGCAGUGGGGAAUAUUGGACAAUGGGCGAAAGCCUGAUCCAUCAAUGCCGCGUGAGUGAUGAAGGCCUUAGGGUUGUAAAGCUCUUUUACCCGGGAUGAUAAUGACAGUACCGUGAGAAUAAGCGCCGGCUAACUCCGUG